This 380-nucleotide ribosomal RNA is filed under the name Escherichia coli. RNAcentral describes it as "bacterial SSU rRNA". It matches the Rfam family "Bacterial small subunit ribosomal RNA", at positions 806 to 1185 of the family's 1533-position model. The record is from RNAcentral. Lineage: Bacteria; Pseudomonadati; Pseudomonadota; Gammaproteobacteria; Enterobacterales; Enterobacteriaceae.
ACGAUGUUCUACUAGCUGGUGGUGCCUUUGAGGCUUGACUACCGGAGCUAACGCGUUAAGUCGACCGCCUGGGGAGUACGGCCGCAAGGCUAAAACUCAAAUGAAUUGACGGGGGCCCGCACAAGCGGUGGAGCAUGUGGUUUAAUUCGAUGCAACGCGAAGAACCUUACCUGGUCUUGACAUCCUCGAAACUUUUCAGAGAUGAAAUUGUGCCUUCGGGAACCGUGAGACAGGUGCUGCAUGGCUGUCGUCAGCUCGUGUUGUGAAAUGUUGGGUUAAGUCCCGCAACGAGCGCAACCCUUAUCCUUUGUUGCCAGCGUUUCGGCCGGGAACUCUAAGGAUACUGCCAGUGAUAAACUGGAGGAAGGUGGGGAUGACGU